GCUGGGUCUUGAGAUCAGUGAGAGAAGAUUUCACAAGCUCCUCGUCAACCACUGUGGGCAAAGGGGCUUUGAGCCUCGGCGGCCCUACAGGUCGCUGGCUUUGACUUCUUCUGAUGCUGCUCUUGUCUUUACUCUUCUUAUUGCUGUUGGAGCCUCCUACAAAACAAAAGCGGGAACAUCAGAAAUAAACAUUAAAGCCGUGGCAAUGUGCCCAUGUGUGAGUAGUCCUCAGAAGAGCGGACGUAGCUGGAGGUGCGAGGACGCAUGGCAUCCAUGUCAUCCAUGGUUGUCUCCAAAACUGGAGCAAGGGUCGCCGCUGUGAUGGCACCACAAUCCGUCCCAUUUUCAGGCUUAAUUCCUGAUCCAGACUUUGAUGAGGACUUGGAGUCUGAUUUCUCAGUGGAGUGGCGAAAAGUGAGGUUGGUGAGGCUACCAAACCACUUGAAACCUUGAGGGCGGAACAGUAAGAAAAGAAGACAAGCUUAGAGUGUGGUAACUAUCACAAGUUUGAUGGAGAUAAAGAAGUUAAAGAAGCUGGUCUGAUUAAAGCUGUACAAUAUUUAUUUUUGAAUUGAUAUUAGAUCAAAUUACUAUUGUGGUGUAUUAAAUCUGUUCAUAUACAGUUAGUUACUCUCUGAGGUCAUAGAGAGUGCAGAGAGUGAUGUGGUACAACAGGGUGUUGUAUAACAAACCUCUGGAAUAUGUCAGAAGGCCUCCAGGGAUGAGUAAGAAAAAGACCAACGUAUAUCUCACCUUAUUUGGGUACGCGCAAGACAUGGUGUAACAUCACAUUUGGUCACACACCCACAUUUCUCCUAUAAAUUGCAUGCACAAAGAGAUUUCGGGGGGACUUCCACAAUUGGCUCUGGGAACCUCGUAUUGCCCGUGUUGGUGUAGCUGUUGUAAUAAACCUUAUUAUAUACAAGCUGGUGUCUUUCCGGAGACUUCUUCAUCAUCUUCACAAACAUCGCUACAAGAUAUACUUCACUAUCAUGAAAUGUGUGGCGCUGAACCAACAAAGUGUUAUCAACCAACUCCUCAGUCCAUCUCAUAUAUUUUGAAAUGUUCUUUGUGUAUUUCUAGAUUGUUGGGUUUCUCUCACAAAUUCUGCUCUUAAUUAUGCCGAAUUGCUUUUGCCAGUCUCCUGCACAGCAUUAAUGCUACAGUCGUGAAGAGUCAGCUGUGGAAACUACUGAAACGUCUUGUAAACUUAAACCAAUAUUUUUCAGCAGUUGUUACAGACUUAACCAGAUCUAAAAUUACAAAUGUAAGCUUGUAUGUUACAAAUGUUGUGUUCUUUUGUUUGUUCUGCUUCAAUGAGGUAGCCAACAGCAAUCAUUGCAGCUUCAAAUUCCUUUUUCUGAGCUUGUGUUUUGAUCUUGUUACCCAACGAAUGAGAUGUAGAAGCAAUCAACCACUUGCAGCUAUACUGUUUAUAAUUAAAAUCAUACUUUUGUAUAAA
Eleginops maclovinus (Patagonian blennie) is the source of this 1462-nucleotide long non-coding RNA. RefSeq lists it as uncharacterized. NCBI's taxonomy places the organism in Eukaryota, Metazoa, Chordata, Actinopteri, Perciformes, Eleginopidae. The record is from RefSeq and is a predicted model, not a curated record. The transcript is spliced from 2 exons.